This 497-nucleotide ribosomal RNA is filed under the name uncultured bacterium. Its description in RNAcentral is "partial 16S ribosomal RNA". It matches the Rfam family "Bacterial small subunit ribosomal RNA", at positions 28 to 507 of the family's 1533-position model. The record is from RNAcentral.
GAUGAACGCUGGCGGCGUGCCUAAUACAUGCAAGUCGAGCGAACGGACGAGAAGCUUGCUUCUCUGAUGUUAGCGGCGGACGGGUGAGUAACACGUGGAUAACCUACCUAUAAGACUGGGAUAACUUCGGGAAACCGGAUCUAAUACCGGAUGAUAUUUUGAACCGCAUGGUUCAAAAGUGAAAGACGGUCUUGCUGUCACUUAUAGAUGGAUCCGCGCUGCAUUAGCUAGUUGGUAAGGUAACGGCUUACCAAGGCAACGAUGCGUAGCCGACCUGAGAGGGUGAUCGGCCACGCUGGAACUGAGACACGGGCCAGACUCCUACGGGAGGCCGCAGUAGGGAAUCCUCCGCAAUGGGCGAAAGCCUGACGUAGCAACGCCGCGUGAGUGAUGAAGGUCUUCGGAUCGUAAAACCCGGUUAUUAGGGAAGGACAUAUAUGUAAUGAACUGUACUCAUCGUGACGGUACCUAAGCAGAAAGGCACGGCUAACUACCUG